Long non-coding RNA from Triticum aestivum (bread wheat), 1516 nucleotides. RefSeq lists it as uncharacterized. The record is from RefSeq and is a predicted model, not a curated record. The transcript is spliced from 2 exons. NCBI's taxonomy places the organism in Eukaryota, Viridiplantae, Streptophyta, Magnoliopsida, Poales, Poaceae.
CAUGUAUAAUAUUCCCUUUGGCUUGUUUGUCGGCAUGAACAACCAUUUUCAGAGCAUCGUAGCAUCGGUUUUGGUUCGUGAUGAGAAGGUUGAAAGCUUUUUGGGUUUCAAGUGAAUUUCUGAGGAGCUUGCAGCACAUUGUUGGGCGGGCUGGGCAGGCCAAACUGAGAUUGCCUCGUCCCGUGGGUUGGCUGUAAUAGGAGCAGGUGCUGCAAAGCUGGGCGGGCCAUGACCGAUGUAGCCUCUCUGAAGCUCCGCUGGUGUAUCUAUGCUUAAAGUGGUACAUUAACUUGUGUGGUUCUGUUUUACAGGGGAGACCUGUAAUGAGAACUAACUUGGCCAUAGAGAGACAUGCUGGGAAGAUAUAUACAAGAGCAAUGUUCGAGCAAUUUGGACAUAUUCUACAUGAGUGCGAUGCUUACGAGGUUGAGGAGAUCAAGAAAGGGAAGCUGUACGCUAUCAUGCACACUGAAGCAGAAAGGAGAGAGAAAUGGUGUGGGGUCUCAUAUAAAGUGUGCUCAGUGGAGGAGAGGAGUGUGAGUGUAGUCAAUUCGCUCACAUGGGAGUACUCUACAGUCAUGUGCUGAAGGUACUGGACUUCAUCCGCAUUAAGGAAAUUCCGCAGAAGCACAUAGUGAAGAGAGGCCCACGUCAUCUUACGCACUACCAGAAAGAUCAUGCCCACAGAAAUCCUUUUAGCUAUGGACAUUUCAAUAUGUAUAUGCAUGCCAUGGAGCCCUGUCCGUUUGGGUGACACAAGUGUUGAGGCUUAUGACCGUCUGAUUUCUCUUUUCAAGAACUGCAUGGUGGAAAUGCAACCUUUUGUGGAGAUUAGGAAUGGGCUUGGACUGGAAGACAGUAUUCUGAAAACGGUGAUGUUGUGAAUCAAAUUCAGACUGAAGGGGCACUUGUCAUUGCUGGGAACAGAGGAUAAAAUAGCCUUGGCAACGAUGAUGUUAAUUCAACAAAUGAGUCUGGGAACAGAUUGGCAGGACUUUUGCCACCGACAAAGAGGAAGGAGAUGGGCAGGCCUGCGACCAGCAGUAGGAAGUGCCUUAUGAAGGGUUGAGGAAGAGGACCAUGUUUUGCACUACUUGCCGGCAACAGGGAAACAAAAAGACUACGUACCCAAACCGCGGAGAUGUGCCAUAGCAGGCUAGAAGACCGCCCGAUGCAAGAACUGUGGAGUCGAAGGCCACCGGUAGAACAAUUGCAACAAAGCAGCGGAGCUAUGUCUGAAAGAGAGUUGACUGAAAAAGUAGGGAUGUACCUGGGACAAUACCUGCAUGGUUAGGAUAAAUGGUUUAUGUGUAUGACAAUUUGCAGAUAAUGCAGACUGUUUGUUGUAGCUUGUGUCCUCAUGCUGAAGCUGCAAAUUUCCUUUGCGUGUGUUGAUACAAGUGUGUCUGAAUGUAUUUCUUUGAUACUUCCUGAGUGGAACUAGUCUGAAUAAAUAGAUUGUGGUUCGAAUAAACUGUACUGAAUCUGUUGUGAGUUGGUCUGGGUUUUGAUCUGG